CUCCCGGCAGCCACAUGCGCGCCUGCGCUCUUCUCCGCCACCGGCUCUCUUAUCGCUGCCGGCCGGCGAUUAGGAGGGACGUCACCCGCCAACUGCAGGUGACUUAAGGCAUCAUCCAGGCCGUGCGCGGGCUUCUCCGGCCGUCCCUGCACUUCCUCGUAUCCUGCGAUAAAAAUCAAGAUACAAGGAACUGAAAAAUAACACAAUCUGAAAACAAUAUUUUUAAAGGAGGUCCUGAAAUUGCUACUCACACGAAGAGAGGCUGAGAUAAUCUGUGCUAUAUGAACUUCUGGCAUUUUGAUUCUGGUGCAUAUUUAGCAAAAUACUUAAUUAUACACUUCAUGUCAUUAGGCAACAAGAAUGUGGUUAAAGUUAAGCCCUUGUUUCAGUGCUUUGCUGAAUCAAGGUGAUUUGGUUUGCCAUCAUUUAAGUGACAGGACUGAGGUCACAUGCCUGGUUCUCCCAAGAUCUCAUGGAAUUCAAACAGAGAAUUUUUAAGAUAAAAAUCAAACACCUGUUGCUAGUUGCAGUGUUCCACUAAUGAUCCAUCUUCCAAGGGCUCAGUUGGAAGGCUAUGGCUGAAAACUUGCCUGGGGCCAUCAUAGUUUGCAUAAGAAUGUCAGAUCCUGCUGAGAUUUCCAGAAAUAGAAAUCUACCUGGCACAGAACUGGUAGGUUCAUGCACUGAUAAUAUUUUAAGUUCUAAUAAUGGUACAAGAAGCAGUUGAAUUAAUAAAACCAUUAGUUGA
Molecule: long non-coding RNA, 748 nt
Organism: Alligator mississippiensis (American alligator)
Lineage: Eukaryota; Metazoa; Chordata; Crocodylia; Alligatoridae
Exons: 3
Source: RefSeq, a predicted model, not a curated record